GCCGGAUAACAUUUAGAACCGCAUGGUUCUAAAGUGAAAGAUGGUUUUGCUAUCACUUAUAGAUGGACCCGCGCCGUAUUAGCUAGUUGGUAAGGUAACGGCUUACCAAGGCAACGAUACGUAGCCGACCUGAGAGGGUGAUCGGCCACACUGGAACUGAGACACGGUCCAGACUCCUACGGGAGGCAGCAGUAGGGAAUCUUCCGCAAUGGGCGAAAGCCUGACGGAGCAACGCCGCGUGAGUGAUGAAGGUCUUCGGAUCGUAAAACUCUGUUAUUAGGGAAGAACAAAUGUGUAAGUAACUAUGCACGUCUUGACGGUACCUAAUCAGAAAGCCACGGCUAACUACGUGCCAGCAGCCGCGGUAAUACGUAGGUGGCAAGCGUUAUCCGGAAUUAUUGGGCGUAAAGCGCGCGUAGGCGGUUUCUUAAGUCUGAUGUGAAAGCCCACGGCUCAACCGUGGAGGGUCAUUGGAAACUGNNAAACUUGAGUGCAGAAGAGGAAAGUGGAAUUCCAUGUGUAGCGGUG
RNAcentral lists this ribosomal RNA (528 nucleotides) under Staphylococcus sp. WH009140s. Its description in RNAcentral is "bacterial SSU rRNA". It matches the Rfam family "Bacterial small subunit ribosomal RNA", at positions 168 to 683 of the family's 1533-position model. Lineage: Bacteria; Bacillati; Bacillota; Bacilli; Caryophanales; Staphylococcaceae. The record is from RNAcentral.